CACGUAGGAGGCGAGCGUUAUCCGGAUUUACUGGGCGUAAAGCGCGUGCAGGCGGUUUGGUAAGUUGGAUGUGAAAGCUCCUGGCUUAACUGGGAGAGGUCGUUCAAUACUACCAGACUAGAGUAUGGGAGAGGGAGGUGGAAUUCCGGGUGUAGUGGUGAAAUGCGUAGAUAUCCGGAGGAACACCAGUGGCGAAAGCGGCCUCCUGGCCCAUUUCUGACGCUCAGACGCGAAAGCUAGGGUAGCAAACGGG
Molecule: ribosomal RNA, 253 nt
Filed under: uncultured bacterium
Lineage: Bacteria
Description: partial 16S ribosomal RNA
Rfam family: Bacterial small subunit ribosomal RNA
Source: RNAcentral